AGUGAACGCUGGCGGUAGGCCUAACACAUGCAAGUCGAACGGCAGCACAGUAAGAGCCUGCUCUUACGGGUGGCGAGUGGCGGACGGGUGAGGAAUACAUCGGAAUCUACUUUUUCGUGGGGGAUAACGUAGGGAAACUUACGCUAAUACCGCAUACGACCUACGGGUGAAAGCAGGGGAUCUUCGGACCUUGCGCGAUUGAAUGAGCCGAUGUCGGAUUAGCUAGUUGGCGGGGUAAAGGCCCACCAAGGCGACGAUCCGUAGCUGGUCUGAGAGGAUGAUCAGCCACACUGGAACUGAGACACGGUCCAGACUCCUACGGGAGGCAGCAGUGGGGAAUAUUGGACAAUGGGCGCAAGCCUGAUCCAGCCAUACCGCGUGGGUGAAGAAGGCCUUCGGGUUGUAAAGCCCUUUUGUUGGGAAAGAAAAGCAGCAGGUUAAUACCCCGCUGUUCUGACGGGACCCAAAGAAUAAGCACCGGCUAACUUCG
Molecule: ribosomal RNA, 490 nt
Filed under: uncultured bacterium
Lineage: Bacteria
Description: partial 16S ribosomal RNA
Rfam family: Bacterial small subunit ribosomal RNA
Source: RNAcentral